This 248-nucleotide unclassified non-coding RNA is filed under the name Hevea brasiliensis (rubber tree). The record is from RNAcentral. Lineage: Eukaryota; Viridiplantae; Streptophyta; Magnoliopsida; Malpighiales; Euphorbiaceae.
GAUAAUUUUUCUUCCUUGGAUAUUGAUUGGAUUCCACACACCACCAACAGUGGUAACAUGGCAGCUGAUAAUAGAACUGUCAAUGAAGAUGAUGAUUAGUUUGAUGCUUGGCAUGAUUUUACAAGCUCAACUCGUGUAUUAGUUCCUUCUAGCAAUUCUUUGAAACAAGAUGUCAAUCACACAGUGUCCCUUUGUUGAGCAGGCAUCCUUGUUCAGUGAAACUAGUAACUCAAAGGAUGUUGAUUUUG